This 777-nucleotide ribosomal RNA is filed under the name uncultured bacterium. RNAcentral's name for it is "bacterial SSU rRNA". It matches the Rfam family "Bacterial small subunit ribosomal RNA", at positions 57 to 828 of the family's 1533-position model. The record is from RNAcentral.
GCAAGUCGAGCGGGGGAAGGUAGCUUGCUACUGGACCUAGCGGCGGACGGGUGAGUAAUGCUUAGGAAUCUGCCUAUUAGUGGGGGACAACAUUCCGAAAGGAAUGCUAAUACCGCAUACGUCCUACGGGAGAAAGCAGGGGACCUUCGGGCCUUGCGCUAAUAGAUGAGCCUAAGUCGGAUUAGCUAGUUGGUGGGGUAAAGGCCUACCAAGGCGACGAUCUGUAGCGGGUCUGAGAGGAUGAUCCGCCACACUGGGACUGAGACACGGCCCAGACUCCUACGGGAGGCAGCAGUGGGGAAUAUUGGACAAUGGGGGGAACCCUGAUCCAGCCAUGCCGCGUGUGUGAAGAAGGCCUUAUGGUUGUAAAGCACUUUAAGCGAGGAGGAGGCUACUAGUAUUAAUACUACUGGAUAGUGGACGUUACUCGCAGAAUAAGCACCGGCUAACUCUGUGCCAGCAGCCGCGGUAAUACAGAGGGUGCGAGCGUUAAUCGGAUUUACUGGGCGUAAAGCGUGCGUAGGCGGCCAUUUAAGUCAAAUGUGAAAUCCCCGAGCUUAACUUGGGAAUUGCAUUCGAUACUGGAUGGCUAGAGUAUGGGAGAGGAUGGUAGAAUUCCAGGUGUAGCGGUGAAAUGCGUAGAGAUCUGGAGGAAUACCGAUGGCGAAGGCAGCCAUCUGGCCUAAUACUGACGCUGAGGUACGAAAGCAUGGGGAGCAAACAGGAUUAGAUACCCUGGUAGUCCAUGCCCGAAACGAUGUCUACUAGCCGUUGGGG